Molecule: long non-coding RNA, 1440 nt
Organism: Acinonyx jubatus (cheetah)
Lineage: Eukaryota; Metazoa; Chordata; Mammalia; Carnivora; Felidae
Exons: 3
Source: RefSeq, a predicted model, not a curated record
GGCGGGGCCGAGGACGUGCUGGGCAUGAAUGGGGCUCUUCCUCGGUCUCACCUGCCUGUGUCCCCAGCCUGCCCCUGACACCGGCACUCGGAUUUCCCUGCCUCCUCUUGCAAGACCUUUCUGGUGAUGCUUUAACCUGGAGGUUGACACGCGUCUUCCCUCUAGGAGGGGCGUAUGGCUCUCCUUCCGCAGCCUGGUGUCUCCGUAGACGAGAGGUAGAAUGGGGAGUUUAAGGAACUUCAGCUUCUCAGCUAAGUUCCUGAAUCCCAGGGAAGGCGCGAGGCUGUAAGAACUUGGUCAAACGAACAUGAGGAAGUUCCCGAGACUUAAAUCUUCCCCCCGGAGUCACAGACCUUCCACUUCUCUAUCCCCUGCUUCCUUCGAGCCCCUCCGGGUCCCCUCCUGUGCCCACCUGUCCAGCGGCUGUGACCACACAGUGCAGGGCCGUGUCGUCCUCGGCAACCUCAUUUAUCUCCGAAACAGCCAUCAAAGCAGGACUCCGAGGAGAAGCUGGUAGGCUGGCUUUAAAACGCCGUGGCUUCUGCGAAUUUCUGCAGAGGUGACAGAAUAUCUCUUUGAAUACGACACAGGGUUUUGCUGUGCUCCCCGGAAUUCAGAGGUAUUGGCCGCGGAAGCUGGGGUGACUGUAUUUUGUGCGUGCCAGGCCGGUCCUGGGCGCGUGAGGCGCCCCACCGCCCUGGAUCCUCAUGGAUUGGCGAGAGGUGUUAGCAUCCCAAGUGAAUAAGAGAGACAAGGGGUGUCUUUGUUACGGCCCCCAAGCAGCACCGGGCGGGCGCAGCCCCAAGUCUCGGGCUAUCUGACUCCCCAUUUGUCAGAUGGUGACUGGGUGAUGAACUGAGAGGCCCGUGGGGACACAGACACGUGGGGACACAGACACGGGGAGCUGACACUCAACACAGUCUCAGCCGGGCCCCAGGAGGGGUGCCCCAGGCCACCACGUGGUGGGGGACAGAGGACGUCCUCUAUUUAGCUGGAAAUACUGGCUAAGAGGGUUAGGUGGUAUUUCCAAGGUUCUCUUCAAGAAGGAUCCAGACCGGGCCGUGCACCAGGGUAAAGCUCUUUCCAAGUCCCAGCCCCCGGCUGCCCGCAAACGGAGGGGUUGGCAGGGGUCCCGUGACCACGGUUCUCUGCUCAGCUGUGUCUAACUUGGGCAGAUUGACACCUUCCUUCCUGAGCGCACUUGGAUCCUCACACACAAAGAUUCCCUUGUUAUGCCCAACAGACAGUGCCUUCACAGGCCUCACCCCUCAGAAUAACCAUCUGAGGCCAUUCUGUCAUCAUUUUGGAGAAGAGGAAACUGAGGCCCAGAGAGGUGAGGUGCCUUGUCUGAGGUCACACAGCAAGGAAGCGGUGAAGCCAGGAUUAUAACCUUUUUUGACUCUUUUCAAAACACAUCCUUUUUAAAAAAAAUUUUUUUAA